AGAUAGCUCAUACGAGGGGGACUGCCAACUGGAUAAGAGCGGCGUGGGGGUCUCGACCAUUGGUCAGAGGCCAUGUGACCUAGCUGCCCGCAGCUGCAGCCGCCACCGCCGCCUCCCCCUCUCCUCUCCUCUCCUCGAAUUCUCCUACCUCAGUCGUCGUCGCCGCCGCCGCCGCCGUCGUCGACCUAGACGUCACCGGCUGAGACCGUUGUGGUAUGGAUAAGGAGACGGGAGGAAGAGCACAUCCUUCCCUGAUAGCGCCCCGACCUGCCAGGUCUUCCUCCUCGUCGGCCUAGGUCCGGGUCUGCUGGAUUAGAUGGACAGAAGUGGUGGAUCCGAUGGUUGCCGGAAUCCCUCAUCGUCGGAGGAAGGCGUGCGACCGGCAAAGAAAUAGGCUGAUGGAGCAGGAUGGGGUGGCGGUUCAAGUUCGGCGGCCUUCGCGUGUUGUGGUUGGCGGCGCUCCACUUCCCUUCCCCCCUGCCCUGAUUAUCCUUCAAAGGAGGCCACAAAGAGCAGCGAUGGCUUCUUGGUAAUCUGCAAUUGGCCACAAAGGAUGAGGUACAUGGAGGUUUGUAAUUUCAGAUUGCCGUACCUUCCAUUGGUGUAUAUGCAAGCUACAGAGAAAACCAAAUAUGCACCAUGCCGAUAUGCUUCAUGACGAGUGUGCUUUUGUCAUCCCUCACCCUCUCAGAUGGCCAUUAGGUGCUAACCAAGAGGUGCACGCCAUGAAUCAAACUACCGAGGGGGCAUACAAUAAUUAGGAGGGCAUGGCUAUCGCUGCGAAGCUACCCUCCCCCGCAAUCAUGCACUACUUUUCAAACGCAGUUCGCCACUGCUGUUUAAUUAGCUCCUGCAUUAGCAGCGGAUUCAGAGUUUAUUCUUCAGCAGAUUCAAUUUGCGGGAGACUCCUGUUGCAGUUUGGUGACAUAGAUCAGUGUCAAGUCGCUUAACAAAUGCAGCUAGGUUCCAUUCAGUUAGCCAAAGCCAUUGUGCAUUAAAAUUGUAGAUGUGCAUGACAGUGUGGAAAUCAUUAUGGCACGUCUAUGAGCAUGCUAUAUUCCCAUGCUACUUUCAGUUAUUAACCACUAGCUUUAUUACAGCACCCAGGAUUUCAGGGUUUGCUUUACUUAGGUUAGUAUGUACUCUACCACAGAUGAAUUGGUUAUAUCUCAUUUUAAUAUACUUCAUUAGUAAUUACUAAAUAUCUUAAGCUCGUUCUAUGGUAAAUUUUGUUUGGGUCUAUUUUUUUGGAUCAUUUCCAUAUCUACAUUUCUUCAUAGAUUAAAAUAGCCCGCAAAAUAGCCGCGAUAGCUGCGCUAUAGCUGCCCGGGAGCCUCGCCGCUACGCUAUGGCUGCUGCCGCGAAAUCCUCCACAUAUCCCUAUAAAUGGCUCAACAAUCAACAAAUCCCUCCAGAAUCAUCUCCCCCACCAGAAAAAUUUCCGCUAUUUGCCGCGAUUGCCCGCUACGGCGGCCGCUAUAGCUGCUGGGAGAGGCCGCCGCGAAAUCGUUUCUCCCGCGAUUUUAAUCUAUGCAUUUCUUACAUAUAAAGGUAUGCUGCAAAAAUUAAGGGUUUGGAUGGUAAUUUAUGGCUGUUUCAGUUGCUGACCAUGUGAUUAUGGUAGUCUACAAUUUGCUUAUGGGUUCUUCAUUGCUUGAUUUUUAUCUCGGACAAAAGAGGGCCAGCCACACCUUUGAAAUAAGCAGCGGUCAUCCAGUCCAGAACAGACUGAAUCUGCUCGACAAAGUGUGGAAAGGCAAUUACUGCUUGGCAAAGUGUAAAAAAGGCCAGGGUAUCAUUUAUGUAGUUAUUUGGAAUGCAAGGUUAGGAAAUCCAAGAAAUAAGAUGAGAAGAGGAAUCUAGCAAAGGAAGGUGAAUCUUUUCUCUUGUGAAUACAACAAGGUUUGUUCCUGCCAGCGAGCAACACAGAUCUCAUGCAUGUACUGAUUGAUGCCUUGGUUAUAUUGAUCUAUAAAGAUAAUUUCAGCCUUCCAUGUAUUUGAACAUUUAUUGUGUUGCAGAUGAACUCUACCAUGCUUACUGAUAUACUCCUGCGUAUAUGUAUGUUUUACUAGAAGUUCCUAUUUUUUAACUAUUGCGUACCAGAAAAUUGAAUUGGCAAUGUCUGCAUAAAUAUGAUGUAUUAAAUUAUGUUUUGAGAGGGAUUUGUUCAUUUUCAAAACUAAGGAAGUUGGAUGAGCUUAAAGCACCCAUUCAUCAGUUCACUGAACUUUUCGAAUUCUAUUUUAAGUCCACAAGAGGGCAAAAUCAUUGCUCUUUCCCAGAUUAUCUAAAUCAGAUGGGCGGGCUCCAAACUGCCAGUGCCAUUUGUCGUUUUUGUGUUUUGAUUUUUACUUGAGUGCCUUUGGACCGAUGGUACUAUGGAGAGGUGACAUUAGCACGGUUGAUGGUUGCUUCUCUCCUGUAGAGUACAUCUCCUUCUAUAUUCCAAUAUAUCAAUAAAACAAGAGAUCUAUAAUAUCAUUGUUUAUGAAGUUCACAGAUUAUUGAAGAUUUUUGCUGCCAUGGAAUUGUGAGUUUGUGACUAUACAUUCUUGUGUCCUACAUGUGAAUUGAAGAUGUAUUGUCUCUGUAUGUGAAUGUCAAUAUCCAGGUAUGUAAGCAAGUCCUAACUUUUAUUCACAUAUUUAUCUAUGAAAUGCAUGCAAGCAAAUCACAUCUUACAGACAAAUGCCCCCUUAUAGGUAAAUGUGAUGAUUCAUAAAUUAACCAGUUGGAGAUCUGUAGACAGUCAGGUGUACUGAUAACUGGAGUUUAGUGCUCAAAAUCCUUCUAACCUUUCUACUGACUGUAUUUUCUUGACGUCUUUAAGAGAAGAAUGAGUACUAUUAGUCAUUCUCUAUCAUGUAUAAUAGUACAAUACUGGAGAUGUGAAUGGAUAAUGUUCAUUUAGCAUAGUAUUAGUAGAUGAUGAUUUCUUUUCUUCACAGUCAACUCGUGUAUUUCCUGAUAUGUUCAGUCUAUUCCCAAAUUAAUUCGUAAAGUAGCCUUAACAAUUAUACAGUCUCUGUGUGUAUUAGUACUCUGUUUUCUCUGGUUUUUGGUCAGCUGGAAGAAUCAGUUUGUCAUAACAUGUGAAAAUGAUUUUAUUUACUUACGCUGUUGCUUUUAUCAGUUAGCAACGAUGUAUGUCAAAUGUAGUAAGUUAGGCAUCGCAGUGAAGCUUGGCAAAGGGACUUCUGGUGAGGCCUACAAGGCUGGAAGCACUGUAUGUAAGGUGGUACCCUCUGAUGGAUAUUCAUUUGUCAACUAAUACAUGACCACACUAGAGAAGCACACGCCGCGCACACACAAGGAUCCUAUCAGGUUCCAAAUAUGUACGUGGAUGUGGAUGAUCUUUAAAUACCUGGAUGAUUAUUCCACAUAAACAAAGUCAUAUUGUCAUUUUUAACACAAGAACAAAGCAGUGUCCCAUAACACAAAUAGCUACUGCUUGUGUUGAGUAGAAAAUCCAUUCAUUAGUUAUGGGGCAUCAAGAAGAGCAAACACCAAUGCGGUGAGACAUACCUGUUCCAUAUAAACAUGCGGAAAGUUGUAAAUCCUUUCACCUGGGCGAGGCACUGUGAUCAACGGCCUAGCCCAAGCAUGCCAUAGCUCCUUGUAUAAUGCGUCGCUAGAACUCCCUGCACAAAGGAUUCAUUAUGUGAACUAACAUGGCAAGUUUACUUUGUAGCAUGGUAAAUUUAGUUUUAUAGCAUGGUUAAAAUGCUAUGUCAGGUAUCGAACUCAAACAUAUAAACCAUGCUACGCUACCCGCCUAUCAUCCGAAGGAGGGGCGGAGUGGGUGCCAGCCAGGUAGGCGGCAGGUGGGAGAUGGCAGCCGCCGAUCUCACACGGCUCCUACGCCCUGCCACCCUCUCCUCCCCAGCUAAGCAGGAGGUUCAAGAGCAGCAACUAAGGAAGGAGCAUGUCGGCGAUAUGGGCUAGCAGCAGGAAGACACGGCUGUCAGGUGCAGUUGAUAUGCUGCCACCUCGGCCCCUUCAUGCACGACUUCCAAGACCAGGGCCUUUUUCCGAGGGAUGCGCUGUGUUUCUCUUUAUUGUUGUUGUUUGUGAUGUCCUAGAUAUUCCUUUGCUAUAUGAUUUGAGAUCAUUUUAUUGCUCAUUCCUAAAGUGCUACGGAUAAUCUGAUUGAGCUGACUAAGAUAGAUGUUCUUUUCUUUACUUGGCAUCUGCUUCUCUUCAUUUUUCUACAAUCCUUCCUUUACAGUUUGCACGCUGGUAUGUUUUGUUGCCAGGCUCAAAUCGGCGAGACCCAUGCCAAUACAUGAGGUACAAUAUUUUUCUUAUUUAUUACUUGCAUACAUGUUGAGUUCAUUCAUCCUAUUAUGUAUACUGAUUAAACAGUACAGGUUGAUACUUGCUCGUGCUCAUUUCUCAAAUUUAUGUUCAGGCAUAACCUCGCAAAAUUUUGGUAUGCACCACUUAUAAUCAGGGCUUGCUUAUUUUAAUUCUUGAAUUCUUUAGAUAAAUAUCUAUCAUUAGUAUUUGUAAUCAUUUUGUCGCUUAGGAUUUCCAAUUGCAUUUGAUUUCUAUGCCGACAUAGAUCUUAUUGCUCAUCAAAGGUAUCUAAAAGUUGUGUUCUCUGCAAACAGAUGGGUUGUGUUAGUCAAUAGAAUACCUAAGAUGUCAGUUUUGUUGCCAAAUAUUGUAAUCCCAGAUUUACAGAGUUCUAGAAUAGAAGAUGAUCUGGUGGUUACCUCUCUGUUAUUUACUCGAAUGACUGUACUUAUAUCUUACCUUCAAACUUUACCGGAUGUUGGUUUAGUUUCCAUCUCCAAUCAGAUUAAUGGUUUGCAGACCAAAGCCAAUGUUUUAUGGUGUUCUUAUUCCUAAUUUAGUUAUACAUUUCAUUUGUAGUUUCUUCGUAGAUAAUAAAGCAGUGGCAGAUGAACCAAUAAGUUAUCUUUGCCCAUGCUUUAUUGUAAGCAUUAAAUUUGCUCUCUGGUAUUACUUUCAAUGUGUUAUCCAUACCCAUGCUUUUUGCGGCUAUCAUGUCCUAUCAACUUAUGCAGAGUCCAUGAUAUCAUACAGUUUGAAGUCGAAAAAUUCAUGAUAUGGGUGAUAUGGAAAAGUCAUUGCCUUCUUUGCUGGAACAUUCCCUGAUUGCCUGGACUUCUUGGGUCAAUCGCUGGACGCCACCCCCGUCUCCUGGACGUCAUGACGCCGCCGAUUUCCUUGACGCCGCCUGCCACUGAUCUUCUAUAACUCAAUUUCUCCAAUUUUUCUCAGCUGUGAGCUCAUAUAUUUUUUGAGUUGUGAACUUAUUAUGUAAACUCAACACUUUGUUUUGUGACAAGUGAACUCAUUUCAUAUUCAUCUAUCAAUCAUGGUUGAAGUGUCUA
This is an RNA transcript of Triticum aestivum (bread wheat), 5366 nucleotides long. RefSeq lists it as uncharacterized. The transcript is spliced from 7 exons. Lineage: Eukaryota; Viridiplantae; Streptophyta; Magnoliopsida; Poales; Poaceae. The record is from RefSeq and is a predicted model, not a curated record.